CACGUGGACAACCUGCCUCAAGGCUGGGGAUAACAUUUGGAAACAGAUGCUAAUACCGAAUAAAACUUAGUGUCGCAUGACACAAAGUUAAAAGGCGCUUCGGCGUCACCUAGAGAUGGAUCUGCGGUGCAUUAGUUAGUUGGUGGGGUAAAGGCCUACCAAGACAAUGAUGCAUAGCCGAGUUGAGAGACUGAUCGGCCACAUUGGGACUGAGACACGGCCCAAACUCCUACGGGAGGCUGCAGUAGGGAAUCUUCCACAAUGGGCGAAAGCCUGAUGGAGCAACGCCGCGUGUGUGAUGAAGGCUUUCGGGUCGUAAAGCGCUGUUGUAUGGGAAGAACAGCUAGAAUAGGAAAUGAUUUUAGUUUGACGGUACCAUACCAGAAAGGGACGGCUAAAUACGUGCCAGCAGCCGCGGUAAUACGUAUGUCCCGAGCGUUAUCCGGAUUUAUUGGGCGUAAAGCGAGCGCAGACGGUUUAUUAAGUCUGAUGUGAAAGCCCGGAGCUCAACUCCGGAAUGGCAUUGGAAACUGGUUAACUUGAGUGCAGUAGAGGUAAGUGGAACUCCAUGUGUAGCGGUGGAAUGCGUAGAUAUAUGGAAGAACAC
RNAcentral lists this ribosomal RNA (607 nucleotides) under uncultured bacterium. RNAcentral's name for it is "bacterial SSU rRNA". It matches the Rfam family "Bacterial small subunit ribosomal RNA", at positions 114 to 709 of the family's 1533-position model. The record is from RNAcentral.